CCCUCUUCUACUUAUUAUUACUUGCCAACCUUGAUACUGAUAUAUGCUUAAUUUCUUAUAUCUAGAAAUCCCACUAAUAAUUUACUCUCUUCUUCUCUAGAAAUCCCUUGGAGAUCAGUACUGCAACAUGUCUGCAGAAGCCAUAAUAGGCUACUGGUUUGCAUAAAGAUGAUAAUUCAUAGGAUUAUUCAUGUUCAAGUUUAUGUUCAUGUUCAUGUUCAUGUUUAUGUUGAACAUUAAAAAAUCAGCAGCAGGCUCAGUAAAAACAUU
Molecule: long non-coding RNA, 270 nt
Filed under: Panax ginseng (ginseng)
Lineage: Eukaryota; Viridiplantae; Streptophyta; Magnoliopsida; Apiales; Araliaceae
Description: long non-coding RNA (PGIN_LNC004743)
Source: RNAcentral